This 740-nucleotide ribosomal RNA is filed under the name uncultured Phenylobacterium sp. Its description in RNAcentral is "bacterial SSU rRNA". It matches the Rfam family "Bacterial small subunit ribosomal RNA", at positions 8 to 796 of the family's 1533-position model. Lineage: Bacteria; Pseudomonadati; Pseudomonadota; Alphaproteobacteria; Caulobacterales; Caulobacteraceae. The record is from RNAcentral.
AGAGUUUGAUCCUGGCUCAGAGCGAACGCUGGCGGCAGGCCUAACACAUGCAAGUCGAACGGCUCUUCGGAGCAGUGGCGGACGGGUGAGUAACGCGUGGGAACGUGCCCUUUGGUACGGAACAACUGAGGGAAACUUCAGCUAAUACCGUAUGUGCCCUUCGGGGGAAAGAUUUAUCGCCAUUGGAGCGGCCCGCGUUGGAUUAGGUAGUUGGUGGGGUAAUGGCCUACCAAGCCUACGAUCCAUAGCUGGUCUGAGAGGAUGAUCAGCCACACUGGGACUGAGACACGGCCCAGACUCCUACGGGAGGCAGCAGUGGGGAAUCUUGCGCAAUGGGCGAAAGCCUGACGCAGCCAUGCCGCGUGUAUGAUGAAGGUCUUAGGAUUGUAAAAUACUUUCACCGGGGAAGAUAAUGACGGUACCCGGAGAAGAAGCCCCGGCUAACUUCGUGCCAGCAGCCGCGGUAAUACGAAGGGGGCUAGCGUUGCUCGGAAUUACUGGGCGUAAAGGGCGCGUAGGCGGAUAUCUAAGUCGGGGGUGAAAGCCCGGGGCUCAACCUCGGAAUUGCCUUCGAUACUGGAUAUCUUGAGUACGGGAGAGGUGAGUGGAACUCCGAGUGUAGAGGUGAAAUUCGUAGAUAUUCGGAAGAACACCAGUGGCGAAGGCGACUCACUGGCCCGUUACUGACGCUGAGGCGCGAAAGCGUGGGGAGCAAACAGGAUUAGAUACCCCAGUAGUCC